GAUGAACGCUGGCGGCGUGCCUAAUACAUGCAAGUCGAGCGAACAGACGAGGAGCUUGCUCCUCUGACGUUAGCGGCGGACGGGUGAGUAACACGUGGAUAACCUACCUAUAAGACUGGGAUAACUUCGGGAAACCGGAGCUAAUACCGGAUAAUAUAUUGAACCGCAUGGUUCAAUAGUUAAAGACGGUUUUGCUGUCACUUAUAGAUGGAUCCGGGCCGGCUUAGCUAGUUGGUAAGGUAACGGCUUACCAAGGCGACGAUGCGUAGCCGACCUGAGAGGGUGAUCGGCCACACUGGAACUGAGACACGGUCCAGACUCCUACGGGAGGCAGCAGUAGGGAAUCUUCCGCAAUGGGCGAAAGCCUGACGGAGCAACGCCGCGUGAGUGAUGAAGGUCUUCGGAUCGUAAAACUCUGUUAUUAGGGAAGAACAAAUGUGUAAGUAACUAUGCACGUCUUGACGGUACCUAAUCAGAAAGCCACGGCUAACUACGUG
Molecule: ribosomal RNA, 497 nt
Filed under: uncultured bacterium
Lineage: Bacteria
Description: partial 16S ribosomal RNA
Rfam family: Bacterial small subunit ribosomal RNA
Source: RNAcentral